CGUGAGAAUCUGCCUAGAGGAUGGGGACAACCACGGGAAACUGUGGCUAAUACCCAAUGAGCGGAGACGUUAAAGAUUUAUCGCCUCUAGAGGAGCUCGCGUCUGAUUAGCUAGUUGGUGGGGUAAAAGCCUACCAAGGCGACGAUCAGUAGCUGGUCUGAGAGGACAACCAGCCACACUGGGACUGAGACACGGCCCAGACUCCUACGGGAGGCAGCAGUGGGGAAUUUUCCGCAAUGGGCGAAAGCCUGACGGAGCAAUACCGCGUGAGGGAGGAAGGCUCUUGGGUCGUAAACCUCUUUUCUCAGGGAAGAAGAAAGUGACGGUACCUGAGGAAUCAGCCUCGGCUAACUCCGUGCCAGCAGCCGCGGUAAUACGGAGGAGGCAAGCGUUAUCCGGAAUUAUUGGGCGUAAAGCGUCCGUAGGUGGCUCUUCAAGUCUGCUGUCAAAGAGUGGGGCUUAACUCCAGAAAGGCAGUGGAAACUGAAAGGCUAGAGAUCCGUAGGGGUAGAGGGAAUUCCCGGUGUAGCGGUGAAAUGCGUAGAGAUCGGGAAGAACAUCGGUGGCGAAAGCGCUCUACUGGACGGUAUCUGACACUGAGGGACGAAAGCUAGGGGAGCGAAUGGGAUUAGAUACCCCAGUAGUCCUAGCCGUA
Molecule: ribosomal RNA, 655 nt
Filed under: uncultured cyanobacterium
Lineage: Bacteria; Bacillati; Cyanobacteriota
Description: bacterial SSU rRNA
Rfam family: Bacterial small subunit ribosomal RNA
Source: RNAcentral